Molecule: ribosomal RNA, 253 nt
Filed under: uncultured bacterium
Lineage: Bacteria
Description: partial 16S ribosomal RNA
Rfam family: Bacterial small subunit ribosomal RNA
Source: RNAcentral
UACAGAGGAGCCAAGCGUUGUCCGGAUUGACUGGGCGUAAAGCGCACGCAGGCGGCCGCGCGCGUGGGGUGUGAAAUCUGGCCGCUUAACGGCCAGGCGCCAUCCCAUACGGCGCGACUGGAGUGAUGCAGAGGUCGAUGGAAUUGCCGGUGUAGUGGUGAAAUGCGUAGAGAUCGGCAGGAACACCCAGGGGGAAACCAGUCGACUGGGCAUCUACUGACGCUGAGGUGCGAGAGCGUGGGGAGCGAACCGG